GCUGCGGUGUCCGAGUGGUUAAGGAGAUGGACUUGAAAUCCAUUGGGCUCUGCCCGCAUAGGUUCGAAUCCUGUCCGCAGGACA
This 84-nucleotide transfer RNA is filed under the name Penaeus chinensis. Its description in RNAcentral is "tRNA-Ser". It matches the Rfam family "tRNA". Rfam says of the family: Transfer RNA (tRNA) molecules are approximately 80 nucleotides in length. Their secondary structure includes four short double-helical elements and three loops (D, anti-codon, and T loops). Further hydrogen bonds mediate the characteristic L-shaped molecular structure. tRNAs have two regions of fundamental functional importance: the anti-codon, which is responsible for specific mRNA codon recognition, and the 3' end, to which the tRNAs corresponding amino acid is attached (by aminoacyl-tRNA synthetases). tRNAs cope with the degeneracy of the genetic code in two manners: having more than one tRNA (with a specific anti-codon) for a particular amino acid; and 'wobble' base-pairing, i.e. permitting non-standard base-pairing at the 3rd anti-codon position. The record is from RNAcentral. Lineage: Eukaryota; Metazoa; Arthropoda; Malacostraca; Decapoda; Penaeidae.